GCCAGGGGCCGCUGAGGAGAGACUUCUCCAAGGAGGAAGGGGCUGCGGGGCUGCAGCGGGGCCCGGAGCAGUUGGGGUGCAGAAGCAUCCUGGACAGCUGUAGUGGCACCAGAUGAAUUCUAGACUCCCAAGGCAGCAGGUGACAUGCCCGGCCCUCAGAAGAGUUCAGAUUAUGUUCUACAGUUAUAAUUGUAUGAUUAGAGGGAUUCAUGCAACAUGUUUGUGAAAGUAGCACACACAGUGCCUGGCAUACGGGAGGUACCCGGAUGGGCGAGUCACGACGUAGGACCUGGGCUCACCAGCCUUACAGCGUGAGGGACGACCAGCCUCGUGCCAGAGCCCAGAGCUUGCCGUGGAAGGAGGGACCCAAGAUCUGAAGUCAGACUUCACCAGUAGCAGCCUCACCGUCACCCCUCCUCCAUGCCAGGCGCUGCUUUGGGAAGUUUAUAUUUGCAAGCCCCCUAUGAGGCAGAUACCACUAUCACUCCCAUUUCCCAGAUGAGCAGACUUAGGCACAGGGAGACUAAGCUAGUAAAUGGAGGAGGCAGGACCCCAAGGCCUAGAUUUGAAUCCUGGCUCCCAACUCAUUAGCUUCACAGCCUCACCCUGAGUGAGUCAGUCAAUUUCUUCCAAAUCUCCA
This is a non-coding RNA of Microcebus murinus (gray mouse lemur), 640 nucleotides long. NCBI's taxonomy places the organism in Eukaryota, Metazoa, Chordata, Mammalia, Primates, Cheirogaleidae. The record is from RefSeq and is a predicted model, not a curated record.